This is a long non-coding RNA of Bombus pascuorum, 1474 nucleotides long. RefSeq lists it as uncharacterized. The transcript is spliced from 2 exons. Lineage: Eukaryota; Metazoa; Arthropoda; Insecta; Hymenoptera; Apidae. The record is from RefSeq and is a predicted model, not a curated record.
UAUAAACUCAAGGCUACCAUUCGUGCAGUAUACUAACAUUCUAUGAAAUAUAUAUAUUUCUACCAACUAUCUUCUAGCUUCUAUAUAAAUUGUCAGAUCGGUUUCAAAUUUGACCAGUAUAAUCAGGGCAGACGUAUCCCGUUACACUGAAAUUUCGAAAUGUAUUAUGUAACACGUGCAUAUAUGCGCAUACAUCAAUGUCUUCUGUCGCAAGUGUUCAAAUUACUUUCGUCGGCUACUGUAUAUGUGCAAGCGACAAAGUAAAUCUGUAUUCAUAGAGCACGACAGGACGACGAGAGGCGAUUCAAUAGACCAGCCACGGACGAGUCGAACAAAUCGAACGGAGGAUGCUUUAUAUAGCGAAAGAACGCGUACAUCGCGUAUUGCGUCUUCGAAUGGACAGUCCUCGGACGGAAACCGCGUCGCGUUGAUUUAUAAUGCGAUACCUAUUGACGGCUGUCCAUGGAAAACAAGGUGCGUGUUAAGGCCUUACACAUAUACACGUAAAUGAAUGUGUCUGUAUGCAAGGUUAUUGUGCGAAGUAUACAGUUGAAAUCUGGAGUAGAAUAAACAGACGUCUAUAAUGCCGCUGUCUGCAAGAGACUCAAAGGGGAGAUGAAGUUACUUGGCUUAUUCCGAAAUUGGGUAUCGGUAAUUCAUUUGACGUGGAUUGAAGAUGUUUGAGGAAUUGAGUUAGCGUUUCUCUUGAUCUUUUUUUUUUUUUUUUGAACGAAUAAAGGAAUACUUUUGGGCAUGAAAGAUAAUAAUUGAAAUAAUAAAAAAGUUUCGUGAUAAUAUGGGUGAUUGUUUAACGUGUUUGAAAUAGUUUGAAUGGGUUUGAAGAUCUGAAGUUUUGGAAUAAUGAACUGUCUUUCUUGCACAGUAAUAUAAUUUCCAUUGUUUUCUUUACGCGGUACAGGUACAAUUGGCGUAAUUUCAGGCAAAAAGUAGCGAAAAGAAGCAAUUGACGGAAGCCAAUUUAUCGUUGAUCGAAGUCAGAAAUAACAAACGAAAUAGCGAAAAAAGGAUUUGAGUAACCGCAAUGUGGAUAACUUAUUGGAAGUAAAACUUGCAGCGAAGAAAAAGUGGAAAAGCAAAAGGACUGCAAGAUAAAAUCGUGACGAAUGGAAGAAAGGUCUGGUGCAUCGACAAUGAUCAUGUUACUACGUCGGAAAUUCUGUCUUCAAUUGAAGAUAACAUCUACUACUGCCUACGAUCGUGCGGUAAGUUGCUUAAGUUGCAAAGCAAGAAACUGCACAGGGGAAUCACGUGCAACGUGAUUAGGAAAUUUUCCUUGGAGAAUAAAUCAGAAGGAAAUGGUAGCUGACGAGUUUAAGUUAAACGAACCUAAUGUUACGGUUACGGGAAUAAAUGUCUCAAUUAAGAAAAAGGUUUAUAAAACAAGCGCGAAAGAAUACACAAUUAGAAAAUCGUAUAUUUAUUGUCUAUGUAUUAUCCUGAUCAUUAAAAUACC